AGGAGGAGGAGGAGGAGGAGGAGGACAGAUGGAGGAGGACCCUGUGCAGACGCAGACUGAAACGAAUGAUGACAGGAUUAGAAAAAGUUAAACAGACAGAGAUGAUUUUCAAAAACAGCUCUAAUAUUAGCCUUUAAUCAAAUCUAAAUGUGUUAUAUGGAGAAUAACAUACCUCACUUAUUCUUUUAACCGGCUCCACGCCCCCAUGGACGUCACAUGUCGGCCAAUGGGGAUGUCAGUGAAAAAUAUGCCUCUCAGAUCCUUCUUGUUUUGGAUUUUGGUGAAAGCAGCGGCAGCAGCAACAGAAUUCAUGUGUUGCCUCCUUCGCUUAAAUGUUAAUUCUGGGGAAAAACAUCCUCAUCGUUUUUACAAAUAAAAAAAUAAAUCGUAAGUCAGUGUCCCCUUCCUCCACGUGGAGGUGCCCUUGAGCAGGGCACCGACUUCAUCCCAUCAGUGAACUGGGCAGUGGAGACAGCAGAAGGCUGAGGUUGUAGUACAAUAACAGUAGGCCAGUGUCUUUCAGGAAACUUAUAGAGACCUUAAGCCUGAUCAUAUAUGCAAACUAUACCUCACAUAUGGAGGAAUGUUAGAUCAUUUUAGAUUCUUUUUCAUGCAUAUAGAUUAUUCUGUGGAGCAGAUCACAAAUUUAAUAUGAGCUGAAAUUUUAAUGUCUAUAUUCUACUUUGCAUUCUGACUAAAAUAUUUCAAGGGAGACACUUUAUUUGUCAUGUAUAAGAAACCAAACGAGGGCUUCACUGUUACUAAGAACUUCAGAUCAGUAAUCUCCUGUAGUUAUCUCUUCCAGAUACAAAGCUGUGAAAACAGUUUAGUUCAGAAGUUUGUUAUUGUAUAGGUUAUAUUUUUAUUUAUUUAUUUUUAUUUUAGCCCUUCUAGCUAUAUGGUGGCUCCUGCUUGUCAACAAAACAGAAAUCAAAAACAAAUAAAGCAGAAAUUAAAUUUAGAAAUUAAUUUCAGCGAAAUGCGACUGGUGGACAACAUGGAGUUAGGACAGUGACAUUAAGAUUUAACAUUGAAAACAAAACGCACACUGAAGAGGGACACAUUGGCACUGAAAUAUGUGUAAUGUAAAAGUAUUGGUACUGAAAUAAUAAUAUUAUGUUGGUCACGUGUGUUGUGUGGUCGCGUUGUGUGUCGUCAUUGACCUGAGCCUGCGGGAAGAGCGCAGAGAGACGGAGAAACGAAGUCGGAAAACAGAUAAAAACCAACAAUUGAAUCGUCCCCUCGGUUUGUCAGUACGGUGAUAAACUUAAUUACUGAAGAAGUCUGAAUGCAAAAACAAGCUUUGGAGUUGUUUUUGUUGAACAUGAGUGAGGCUGGAGGCUGAAUACACCUGCGGCGCGAAGCUAAGGCUAAGGAGCGAGCUAGCUAGUGGCUAGCGUUAGCAUUUGCGUUAGCGACGAGCCUUAGUAUUAGUCUUUCUCUUUUAAUGACAUUUUUUGACCUUAUUUCAAUUAUCAGUCGUUUUUAUCGCAUGGGUAAGAGUGUGUUUGUGUUUCCCUGACAUGAGUUGUGAACCUCCAACGUGGACGGGUGAAAACACUACAAGGUCUUCAUUGUCUGUUUAAAUCCCUGUUGUACUCGUUUACAGUCACUUUACCGGGACAUUUUGCAUCUCUUUGUAAUUUGUGUUCCACCCUGGUCAUUCCAACUCAGUUUAUAUCUAUCAUAUGUCUAUCAUGUCAUCAUCAUUUUGUUUCUCUUUGUGAUCAAUCACGUUUAAUUUGUAAUUGUCAAGGCUGUAGUGUUUUCACUGUCGUGUUUAUGGGUUUUAGUGGUAAAACGUUUCCAUUACCAUUUUGUAUUAAUUAGUUAAUCAGUGUUUCAUGUGUUGUACUUGUGUUUUGCAGGUCUACUUGUUCAGCUGUUGGAGUUUGGACAGAAACACCAACAUCAUACCAACAGUGUCCCCCAGGAGGAGCUGGAAAAUGUUGCCGGGGAGAGGGAUGUGUGGAAUGCGCUGUUUAGCCUGUUGCCAUGCGACCUGAUUCCGGAAUAAGCGUGAAGAACUGAGCUGAAGGGUAAAUCCCAGCUCAAACCUAAAGAGACAUCAUCCCCGAUCAAAGAGACAGGGAGAGAAACAUUGUCCAAAACUUGAUGUCACCACCUCGUCCCCGAUGUCCAUAAGCACAGAGACAUGGUCCAUGAUCAGAGAGACAUUGUCCACAACUCACAGUGACGUGCCAGUCACAGUAAUUACAGAGAAGACAACAGCAGUGGAAAACCUGAAGUGGAUGACAGAAAACAAAAGUGUUACAAAGCCGUUAAUUAGAUAUAAGACUUCCAGCAUCUAACUGCUGUAAACAGUGUUGGUUUCCUGUUCAAGUGAAAACACUGUUUUUUUUCUACCAUCUGUAAUGUAGUCAUGAGAACAUUUUCCAAAGACUAAUAUAUCUUUGGAAAUUGUUCUCUCUCUCUCGCCUGUGAAAACGUUCAACUGCUUAUGAUACAAUUAUUAAUAAAAUAAUUGUAUCAUAAGCAGUUGAAUGAUCACAAAAAUGCUUACUGGACCUGUUCAUCUUUUGAAAAUGUGCUCAUAACUACAUUAAGUGUUUCGUUGUGGUCAAAUGUCUGUCAUCAUCUUUGCUGUGAUUUGUUAAAUCUUGUCUGGAAUAAAAUCAAUAAAGAUUUCUUCCUAAACUUUUGAGUUGCAUUUCUCUAUAUUGAAAGCAAUGUUAUACAAAUCAUUGUAUUGUAUUUUAAGAAAAAGGUCAUAAUUCUCAUGUUUUUAAAGGUUUUAUCCUUUUACUAUAAACCUGUUUUUUAAGGAUUUAUUUUAAGUUUUAAGUUUUAACAUGAUUUAUCAGACCUAUUUUUUUAAGGUUUUAUAUACAUCUUUUAAAUAUAUUAUCCUUAUCUUUUUAGACCUAAGGUGUUUGUUCCAGACAAGAGGAACUGUAGCUGAGCUAAUGACAGAGUC
Molecule: long non-coding RNA, 2938 nt
Organism: Lates calcarifer (barramundi perch)
Lineage: Eukaryota; Metazoa; Chordata; Actinopteri; Centropomidae
Exons: 4
Source: RefSeq, a predicted model, not a curated record